This 210-nucleotide ribosomal RNA is filed under the name uncultured bacterium. RNAcentral describes it as "partial 16S ribosomal RNA". It matches the Rfam family "Bacterial small subunit ribosomal RNA", at positions 1290 to 1500 of the family's 1533-position model. The record is from RNAcentral.
AGUUCGGAUUGAAGGCUGAAAUUCGCCUUCAUGAAGUCGGAAUUGCUAGUAAUGGCAGGUCAGCAUACUGCCGUGAAUACGUUCCCGGGCCUUGUACACACCGCCCGUCACACCAUGAGAGUUGGAGAUACCCGAAGCCUAUGAGCUAACUUUUAGAGGCAGUAGUCGAAGGUAGAAUCAAUGAUUGGGGUGAAGUCGUAACAAGGUAUC